CUCCUUUGAGACCGGCGCACGGGUGCGUAACGCGUAUGCAAUCUACCUUGGGCAGGGGGAUAGCCCAGAGAAAUUUGGAUUACUACCCCAUAGUAUUUUCAGAUGGCCUCAUUUGAUUAUUAAAGUUCCAACGGUACAAGAUGAGCAUGCUUCCCAUUAGCUAGUUGGUGUGGUAACGGCAUACCAAAGCAACGAUGGGUAUGGGUCCUGAGAGGGAGAUCCCCCACACUGGUACUGAGACACGGACCAGACUCCUACGGGAGGAAGCAGUGAGGAAUAUUGGUCAAUGGGCGCAAGCCUGAACCAGCCAUGCCGCGAGCAGGAUGACGGUCCUAUGGAUUGUAAACUGCUUUUGUACAGGAAGAAACCCUCCCUUGUAAGGGAGCUUGACGGUACUGUAAGAAUAAGGAUCGGCUAACUCCGUGCCAGCAGCCGCGGUAAUACGGAGGAUCCAAGCGUUAUCCGGAAUCAUUGGGUUUAAAGGGUCCGUAGGCGGUUUUAUAAGUCAGUGGUGAAAUCUGGUCGCUCAACGAUCAAACGGCCAUUGAUACUGUAAGACUUGAAUUACUUGGAAGUAACUAGAAUAUGUAGUGUAACGGUGAAAUGCUUAGAGAUUACAUGGAAUACCGAUUGCGAAGGCAGGUUACUACGAGUAUAUUGACGCUGAUGG
This 670-nucleotide ribosomal RNA is filed under the name Flavobacterium columnare. RNAcentral's name for it is "bacterial SSU rRNA". It matches the Rfam family "Bacterial small subunit ribosomal RNA", at positions 84 to 752 of the family's 1533-position model. Lineage: Bacteria; Pseudomonadati; Bacteroidota; Flavobacteriia; Flavobacteriales; Flavobacteriaceae. The record is from RNAcentral.